Molecule: long non-coding RNA, 1232 nt
Organism: Musca domestica (house fly)
Lineage: Eukaryota; Metazoa; Arthropoda; Insecta; Diptera; Muscidae
Exons: 2
Source: RefSeq, a predicted model, not a curated record
CGAAAUACCGUUAUCAAAUCAAUUCCAAGAAGUUGCAACACUGCUACAUUUUUACAAAGCCAUCAAGUUGACAACAUUGUAGCGACAACAAAUCAAUUAUUGUGAUUGAAUUGUGCUCAGUUGGCGCAGAAAUAAACAGCAAACAAACAUCGUUUUUCAAACUAAAGUUUUGAAAUAUUUUGCUUUUCUUACUGUCUAAUCAUGAAAAUCGAAGAAAUUAAAAGUAGCGUUCGCACCCAACGGAUUUCUGAAUAAAGCCAUAUCAAAGGUUUGGGUAUAAAUGACGAAGGUGUCCCAUUGCCCAUGGCCGCUAGUUUGGCUGGACAAAAAGCUGUCCGAGAAGCCCGUGAUAUAGUUGUGAAUUUGACGAAAAAAAGAAAAUGGCAGGUCUUGCCUUACAGCUGGAGGUACAAUGCAAUUGCUCUAGGUAUUGCCCAAAAAUAGGGCACUAAGGUAACAGUCUGUCCCAUGCUGAGUUCGGAGAUGUUCAGCAGCAAAAUAAGAAACAUGGUGGUUCUUAUGUAAUUUUUUUUGCAAAAGAAGAACUAGAGUUAGGGCCUUUGCAACGAAAUUUGAUUUGGAGACCCAGGGUUGGUUGUAUUUGACACCACAGACAUGCAAAAUAUUCCAGAACUUUAGUCUAUCUGCUGUUUAUUUCUGUGCCAACUGAUCACAAUUCAAUUUAGUCACAAUAAUUGUUUAUUUGCGGCCACAAUGUUGUCAACUUGGUGACUUUGUAAAAAUGUAGCAUGGAUGCAACUUCUAAUUGUCAAUGCUGCGUGUGGUUACGUGUGGUAAUGGUACAAUAAAAAGGAAAGGUAGAGCUACCAGCUGAUUAAAAUUUUUUUCUAAGAGUGCUAGGAAGAAACUUAAAUUGCGGGGCGCGCAAUAAUGAUAUUAAGCAGAUUUGCCACGGAAUUGAAGGAUUGGCCAAUUAGGAUCAUAUGUUUGAGAGAACAUCCAGCAUUUCAUUCGCCUUUCGCAUAAUUUAGCUCUUUUAGAAAUGAACAAAAAAUAUCAAAUAAAUAAAAACAACUUAUUGGAUAUAAUUUUGAAUAAUUCUGACAGCGCUUUAUUUCUGUAGUUUUAUGAAGCUGUUCUGCCUCCUUAUUGUACCAUGCUUUGUACUUUUUUAAUAACAAAAAUAUUUAAAUGUACACCCAACAAAAACAGUAUUUAAAAAUAUUGUGUUGAAACUUAUGUAUCAAAUAUAUGUUCUCAAUAUUGCUGUU